RNAcentral lists this ribosomal RNA (609 nucleotides) under uncultured bacterium. RNAcentral's name for it is "bacterial SSU rRNA". It matches the Rfam family "Bacterial small subunit ribosomal RNA", at positions 43 to 657 of the family's 1533-position model. The record is from RNAcentral.
CAGGCCUAACACAUGCAAGUCGAGCGAGAAAGUGACUUCGGUCGCGAGUAAAGCGGCGAACGGGUGAGUACAACGUGGAUAAUCUACCCUAGGGUCUGGGACAACCCCGAGAAAUCGGAGCUAAUACCGGAUAAGACCACAGUAUCCAAGGAUACAGUGGUAAAAGAUUUAUCGCCUUUGGAUGAGUCCACGUCCCAUCAGGUAGUUGGUAAGGUAAAAGCUUACCAAGCCUAAGACGGGUAGCCGGCCUUAGCGGGUGAACGGCCACAUGGGGACUGAGACACGGCCCUGACUCCUACGGGAGGCAGCAGUGGGGAAUAUUGGGCAAUGGGCGAAAGCCUGACCCAGCGAUGCCGCGUGAGGGAUGAAGGCCUUCGGGUUGUAAACCUCUGUCAGGAGGGACGAUGGGACACUUGUGUCUUGACGGUACCUCCAGAGGAAGCCCCGGCUAACUCCGUGCCAGCAGCCGCGGUAAUACGGAGGGGGCAAGCGUUGCUCGGAAUUACUGGGCGUAAAGGGUCCGCAGGCUGUCAGGCAAGUUGGUUGUGAAAGCUCAAGGCUUAACCUUGGAAUUGCAUCCAAAACUGCCUGACUAGAGUCCAAGAGAGG